GGAUGGGUCGAUUUAGCCAUGCUAGUUGCACGAGUUCAGACUCGUAGCAGAUAGCUCAGUAACACGUGGCCAAACUACCCUAUGGAUCCGAAUAACCUCGGGAAACUGAGGCUAAUGCGGAAUAGCGUUCAUCGCCUGGAGUGGCACGAACGCGAAACGUUACGGCGCCAUAGGAUGUGGCUGCGGCCGAUUAGGUAGACGGUGGGGUAACGGCCCACCGUGCCCAUAAUCGGUACGGGUUGUGAGAGCAAGAGCCCGGAGACGGUAUCUGAGACAAGAUACCGGGCCCUACGGGGCGCAGCAGGCGCGAAACCUUUACACUGCACGCGAGUGCGAUAAGGGGACUCCGAGUGCGAGGGCAUAUAGUCCUCGCUUUUCACGACCGUAAGGUGGUCGUAGAAUAAGUGCUGGGCAAGACCGGUGCCAGCCGCCGCGGUAAUACCGGCAGCACGAGUGAUGACCGCUAUUAUUGGGCCUAAAGCGUCCGUAGCUGGCCACGCAAGUCUAUCGGGAAAUCCGCGCGCUUAACGCGCGGGCGUCCGGUGGAAACUGCGUGGCUUGGGACCGGAAGACCAGAGGGGUACGUCCGGGGUAGGAGUGAAAUCCCGUAAUCCUGGACGGACCACCGGUGGCGAAAGCGCCUCUGGAAGACGGAUCCGACGGUGAGGGACGAAAGCUCGGGUCACGAACCGGAUUAGAU
This 700-nucleotide ribosomal RNA is filed under the name Natrinema sp. S1FP4. RNAcentral describes it as "bacterial SSU rRNA". It matches the Rfam family "Archaeal small subunit ribosomal RNA", at positions 35 to 734 of the family's 1478-position model. Lineage: Archaea; Methanobacteriati; Methanobacteriota; Halobacteria; Halobacteriales; Natrialbaceae. The record is from RNAcentral.